UGGGUCCUACGGGGCGCAGCAGUGGGGGAUAUUGCACAAUGGGGGAAACCCUGAUGCAGCGACGCCGCGUGAGUGAAGAAGUAUUUCGGUACGUAAAGCUCCAUCAGCAGGGAAGAAUAAUGACGGUACCUGACUAAGAAGCCCCGGCUAACUACGUGCCAGCAGCCGCGGUAAUACGUAGGGGGCAAGCGUUAUCCGGAUUUACGGGGUGUAAAGGGAGCGUAGACGGCUGUGCAAGUCUGAAGUGAAAUGCCGGGGCUCAACCCCGGAACUGCGUUGGAACCUGUA
This 288-nucleotide ribosomal RNA is filed under the name uncultured bacterium. RNAcentral's name for it is "partial 16S ribosomal RNA". It matches the Rfam family "Bacterial small subunit ribosomal RNA", at positions 333 to 637 of the family's 1533-position model. The record is from RNAcentral.